RNAcentral lists this transfer RNA (90 nucleotides) under Nitrososphaerota archaeon. RNAcentral's name for it is "Thaumarchaeota archaeon (marine metagenome) tRNA-Tyr". It matches the Rfam family "tRNA". From Rfam's summary of the family: Transfer RNA (tRNA) molecules are approximately 80 nucleotides in length. Their secondary structure includes four short double-helical elements and three loops (D, anti-codon, and T loops). Further hydrogen bonds mediate the characteristic L-shaped molecular structure. tRNAs have two regions of fundamental functional importance: the anti-codon, which is responsible for specific mRNA codon recognition, and the 3' end, to which the tRNAs corresponding amino acid is attached (by aminoacyl-tRNA synthetases). tRNAs cope with the degeneracy of the genetic code in two manners: having more than one tRNA (with a specific anti-codon) for a particular amino acid; and 'wobble' base-pairing, i.e. permitting non-standard base-pairing at the 3rd anti-codon position. Lineage: Archaea; Thermoproteati; Nitrososphaerota. The record is from RNAcentral. RNAcentral also lists the same sequence under 1 other name.
CCCGCGGUAGCUCAGCUUGGUAGAAAUAUUGCCAAAAGCUUCCGGCUGUAGACCGGACUGUCGUCGGUUCAAAUCCGACCCGCGGGACCA